RNAcentral lists this microRNA (24 nucleotides) under Populus trichocarpa (black cottonwood). RNAcentral's name for it is "ptr-MIR478g". Lineage: Eukaryota; Viridiplantae; Streptophyta; Magnoliopsida; Malpighiales; Salicaceae. The record is from RNAcentral.
UGACAUGUCUCCUAUUUUUAGGGA